This 1325-nucleotide ribosomal RNA is filed under the name metagenome. RNAcentral describes it as "bacterial LSU rRNA". It matches the Rfam family "Bacterial large subunit ribosomal RNA", at positions 1561 to 2925 of the family's 2925-position model. The record is from RNAcentral.
AGUGGAUGGGGAGCAACCUAGUUGUGCGUGUGUAAAGGUAGUGCCAAGAAAAGCGAUGAUCAUGUUGAAAAUCAAUUCCCGGUACCCGAAACCGACACAGGUGGGCAAGUAGAGAAUACUAAGGGGCGCGAGGUAACUCUCUCCAAGGAACUCGGCAAAAUGACCCCGUAACUUAGGGAGAAGGGGUGCCACCGAGAGGUGGUCGCAGUGAAGAGGCCCAGGCGACUGUUUAGCAAAAACAUAGGUCUCUGCAAACUCGAAAGAGGAGGUAUAGGGGCUGACGCCUGCCCAGUGCCGGAAGGUUAAAGAAGUUGGUCAGUUUUAGGAUGAAGCUAGCGACUGAAGCCCCGGUGAACGGCGGCCGUAACUAUAACGGUCCUAAGGUAGCGAAAUUCCUUGUCGGGUAAGUUCCGACCCGCACGAAAGGCGUAACGAUCUGGGCGCUGUCUCGGAGAGAGGCUCGGCGAAAUAGGAUUGUCUGUGAAGAUACGGACUACCUGCAUUUGGACAGAAAGACCCUAUGAAGCUUUACUAUAGCUUGGAAUUGUGUUCGGGCUUCCUGUGCGCAGGAUAGGUGGGAGGCGUAGAAGGUAUUCUUGUGGGGAUACUGGAGCCAACGGUGAGAUACCACUCUCAGGAGGCUAGAAUUCUAACUUAAUUAAGGACAGUUUCAGGUGGGUAGUUUGACUGGGGCGGUCGCCUCCAAAAAGGUAACGGAGGCGUACAAAGGUUCCCUCAGACUGGUUGGAAAUCAGUCGAAGAGUGCAAAGGCAGAAGGGAGCUUGACUGCGAGAAGUACAGUUCGAGCAGGGUGGAAACACGGUCUUAGUGAUCCGACGGUGCUGUGUGGAAGGGCCGUCGCUCAACGGAUAAAAGUUACUCUAGGAUAACAGGCUGAUCUCCCCCAAGAGUUCACAUCGACGGGGAGGUUUGGCACCUCGAUGUCGGCUCAUCGCAACCUGGGGCGGAAGUACGUCCCAAGGGUUGGGCUGUUCGCCCAUUAAAGCGGUACGUGAGCUGGGUUCAGAACGUCGUGAGACAGUUCGGUCCAUAUCCGAUGUAGGCGUGAGAAUAUUGAGAGGAGCCUUCCUUAGUACGAGAGGACCGGGAAGGACGCACCGCUGGUGUACCUGUUAUGAUGCCAAUUGUAAACGCAGGGUAGCCAAGUGCGGAGAGGAUAACCGCUGAAAGCAUCUAAGUGGGAAGCCCAGCUCAAGAUGAGUAUUCUGGUGUAAGGUCACGGGAAGACGACCCGUAAAUAGGCACGAGGUGGAAGUGCAGAGAUGUAUGAAGCCGAAGUGUACUAAUAGACCGUCGGCUUGAUC